CCUACGGGAGGCAGCAGUGAGGAAUUUUCUGCAAUGGGCGCAAGCCUGACAGAGCAAUACCGCGUGAGGGAUGAAGGCCUAUGGGUUGUAAACUUCUUUUCUCAAGGAGGAAGAUCUGACGUUACUUGAGGAAUAAGCAUCGGCUAACCAUGUGCCAGCAGCCGCGGUAAU
This 171-nucleotide ribosomal RNA is filed under the name uncultured phototrophic eukaryote. RNAcentral describes it as "partial 16S ribosomal RNA". It matches the Rfam family "Bacterial small subunit ribosomal RNA", at positions 338 to 524 of the family's 1533-position model. The record is from RNAcentral.